UAGGGAAUCUUCCACAAUGGACGCAAGUCUGAUGGAGCAACGCCGCGUGAGUGAAGAAGGUUUUCGGAUCGUAAAGCUCUGUUGUUGGUGAAGAAGGAUAGAGGCAGUAACUGGUCUUUAUUUGACGGUAAUCAACCAGAAAGUCACGGCUAACUACGUGCCAGCAGCCGCGGUAAUACGUAGGUGGCAAGCGUUGUCCGGAUUUAUUGGGCGUAAAGCGAGCGCAGGCGGAAUGAUAAGUCUGAUGUGAAAGCCCACGGCUCAACCGUGGAACUGCAUCGGAAACUGUCAUUCUUGAGUGCAGAAGAGGAGAGUGGAACUCCGUGUGUAGCGGUGGAAUGCGUAGAUAUAUGGAAGAACACCAGUGGCGAAGGCGGCUCUCUGGUCUGCAACUGACGCUGAGGCUCGAAAGCAUGGGUAGCGAACAGGAUUAGAUACCCUGGUAGUCCAUGCCGUAAACGAUGAGCGCUAGGUGUUGGGGACUUUCCGGUCCUCAGUGCCGCAGCAAACGCAUUAAGCGCUCCGCCUGGGGAGUACGACCGCAAGGUUGAAAC
Molecule: ribosomal RNA, 554 nt
Filed under: uncultured bacterium
Lineage: Bacteria
Description: partial 16S ribosomal RNA
Rfam family: Bacterial small subunit ribosomal RNA
Source: RNAcentral